AAGUGGUACAUCCAAACUUGAAUGAAAUAGAGCUGUGAGGACAUUUUGAGGGAAGUGAUCUAGUCUACAGGUAUUUGAAAGCAUGAACCUUGCAUUGAUUCAAGUAAGAAGACAUUCGGGAGAGGUCCAAACGUCAGAUUUUCUUACACAGAAUGGAGAAGGAGCAGUUUUUCCAUUUCCCUGAAACGAAUUGAGUGAAGUUGACAGCAGGAUUGCAGAAGUGGGAGCACCCA
Molecule: long non-coding RNA, 233 nt
Organism: Piliocolobus tephrosceles (Ugandan red Colobus)
Lineage: Eukaryota; Metazoa; Chordata; Mammalia; Primates; Cercopithecidae
Exons: 3
Source: RefSeq, a predicted model, not a curated record